This 496-nucleotide long non-coding RNA is filed under the name Gopherus agassizii (Agassiz's desert tortoise). Its description in RNAcentral is "lncRNA (ENSGAGG00000002014.1)". The record is from RNAcentral. Lineage: Eukaryota; Metazoa; Chordata; Testudines; Testudinidae.
GUGUCAAAGGAGACACUGCUCUCUAGUCUUUCCAGAAGAACUAUAAUUGGCACCUUACCCUUCUUUAACACUUAUUUUUUUCUGCCAGAGAAGUGCAGUAGGAACAAGGAAGCACAGACAGAAAAUUUUAAAAGUGAAAGAAGUUCUCCUGGAGGUACAGGCAAGUAACUAAUUCAACAAACUGCUCAUCAUUCAACCGAGCAAAUGAGGUGACUGUAAGAUGAAGACUCCAGUGAGAAGAAGAAAGACCUGUCUACUUUUGUGGAAAUUGACCUAAGAGACGAAGUUGAUGAGAUAACUGAACACUUCUUGACAGAGGAGAAACAAUCAGAAGAAGAGGAAGAACCAGCUGAACUCGAGCCCCAAAGCAACUGGCUGUGCUGCUUUCCAACCUGGAGAAAGCAGAAGAAGAAAAAGAUAAAAAUAGGAUAGCUAUGAAAAGGUAAAUUCAGUGCUUAGGAGGCAUCGGAAAUUCUGGUCAGGGGAAUGAUGCAGG